RNAcentral lists this ribosomal RNA (483 nucleotides) under uncultured bacterium. RNAcentral's name for it is "partial 16S ribosomal RNA". It matches the Rfam family "Bacterial small subunit ribosomal RNA", at positions 28 to 523 of the family's 1533-position model. The record is from RNAcentral.
GACGAACGCUGGCGGCGUGCUUAACACAUGCAAGUCGAACGAUGAAGCUGGAGCUUGCUCCGGUGGAUUAGUGGCGAACGGGUGAGUAACACGUGAGCAAUCUGCCCUUGACUCUGGGAUAACUGCGGGAAACUGUAGCUAAUACCGGAUACGAGGCUCGAAGGCAUCUUCGGGUCUGGAAAGAAUUUCGGUCAAGGAUGAGCUCGCGGCCUAUCAGCUUGUUGGGGAGGUAAUGGCUCACCAAGGCGACGACGGGUAGCCGGCCUGAGAGGGUGACCGGCCACAAUGGGACUGAGACACGGCCCAGACUCCUACGGGAGGCAGCAGUGGGGAAUAUUGCAAAAUGGGCGAAAGCCUGAUGCAGCAACGCCGCGUGAGGGAUGAAGGCCUUCGGGUUGUAAACCUCUUUUAGCAGGGAAGAAGCGAAAGUGACGGUACCUGCAGAAAAAGCACCGGCUAACUACGUGCCAGCAGCCGCCGUAA